GCUUCAGGGCAGUGGCAAGCAGCGUAAAUGGGUGCCUAGAGGUCUAGGUUUCGAGCUGCUGUACGCGCAAUGUGCUACCUUUCUACUGCACGCCUGGAGGGAGUAAUUCAAUUGGACUGAAACUCUUCGAAGCAGCAAAUUGAGUCGGCCAAGCGGUGGGAAAAUGGUGGCUGCUAAUCGGUAGGAAGGAUUUGGAUGGAAUUCAAAUUAGGUGGUGGCUAAAAGCAUGGAAUUUGAACUUGGGAAGGAUUUUAUGCCGAAAUAGGACUCAUGGUAGUACCAAUUCGGCUAUAGGCAAAUAAAUGCUGUAAAAGAUCUUAAAAUUUU
This 327-nucleotide long non-coding RNA is filed under the name Gossypium barbadense (sea-island cotton). RNAcentral's name for it is "long non-coding RNA (GBAR_LNC001578)". Lineage: Eukaryota; Viridiplantae; Streptophyta; Magnoliopsida; Malvales; Malvaceae. The record is from RNAcentral.